Molecule: ribosomal RNA, 811 nt
Filed under: uncultured bacterium
Lineage: Bacteria
Description: bacterial SSU rRNA
Rfam family: Bacterial small subunit ribosomal RNA
Source: RNAcentral
AGAGUUUGAUCCUGGCUCAGAACGAACGCUGGCGGCGUGCCUAACACAUGCAAGUCGAACGGAUUUGAGGAGCUUGCUUCUCAAGUUAGUGGCGCACGGGUGAGUAACGCGUAGAUAAUCUGCCUGAUGAUCUGGGAUAACACUUCGAAAGGGGUGCUAAUACCGGAUAAGCCCACGGGAUCUUUGGAUCUUGCGGGAAAAGGGGGGGACCUUCGGGCCUUCCGUCAUCAGAUGAGUCUGCGUACCAUUAGCUAGUUGGUAGGGUAAAGGCCUACCAAGGCGACGAUGGUUAGCUGGUCUGAGAGGAUGAUCAGCCACACUGGAACUGAGACACGGUCCAGACUCCUACGGGAGGCAGCAGUGGGGAAUUUUGCGCAAUGGGGGAAACCCUGACGCAGCAACGCCGCGUGAGUGAUGAAGGCCCUUGGGUCGUAAAGCUCUGACAGAGGGAAAGAAGUGUAGAGUGGCUAAUAUCCACAUUACUUGACGGUACCCUCAAAGGAAGCACCGGCUAACUCCGUGCCAGCAGCCGCGGUAAUACGGGGGGUGCAAGCGUUGUUCGGAAUUAUUGGGCGUAAAGAGCGUGUAGGCGGCCUGAUGUGUCAGAUGUGAAAGCCCUGGGCUUAACCCAGGAAGUGCAUUUGAAACUGUCAGGCUCGAGUAGGGGAGAGGGAAGUGGAAUUCCUGGUGUAGAGGUGAAAUUCGUAGAUAUCAGGAGGAACACCGGUGGCGAAGGCGACUUCCUGGCCCUAUACUGACGCUGAGACGCGAGAGCGUGGGUAGCAAACAGGAUUAGAUACCCUGGUAGUCC